CAGGGGUGAUGAUGAUGCCCUGGAAGGGUGGGGGGCAGCAGGGCUUGCCCUGGAUUCCUACCUGGAAGACUCAACAUGCAGGACAUCUGGCAGAUGCUUGGACUCCACUAUGCACCCAAAAACUGGGCAAGAGCAUCAGCACCGGUGGCAGGUGGGGAAGCCUGUGGGGGAGUUUUGGGAUGCAUUCCUUCUCACAGCAUCCCAUUGCUGCCUGGACACCUCGGUGUGGCUCCAGAUGGGUCAAGUCCAUCAGGUGGGGGCUCUCUUCUCCCACGGAUUGGGGUCCCUGUGUGGUCUCCGACCCGGCUUUGUCAGGACAGGCAGCAGGAAGGCUCUGCAGCCACAUCCUAAACUGCACCGGGAGAUGGAGAGAUAACGGUGCCUCCAGGCCCUCGGUAAAUUAUCUUGCCUGUAUGUUCAUUAAUCAACAAUUCUUAUGUAAACAGACACAUCCCCAGCCCUCUGCUUCCCAUCACCCUGGCAACCCUCUGCUCAGGAUGUGCUCUGGGCUCCCACCUGCUCUGCAACUCCUUCCCUGUCUGCAACUUUUUUUCCUGCUGCCUUUGCUUCCACACCUUUUCAUCCCCCGGGACUUGAAAAAGUCUUCAGGUGCCUCUUGCCCAGCGUUGGAUCCUGGACCUCCCCAUCAUUAGAUCCUGAACCUCCCCAUCCUGGGAUCCUGGAUCUCCCCCUCUCCAGCAGCUGCUGGGGCAGGAGCUGGGAAGCAGUGGGGUGAUGAGGACUGGACUUCCCUGCCAUCCUCCCUGGCCAGUGCCAGGCCAUGUCCCGGAGAACACAGCCCUUAGGGGGGAGUGCUGGAUGCAGGAAUCAUGGCAAGGGCCAGCCAGACCCACGGCAAUGCUGCCAAAACCUCAGCUGGGCUCACGCUGUGCUGUGGGUCCAGCAGUGACCACGACGUGCAUCUCUGACCCCCCCCCCGACAUCCAUCACCUUUCCCUGCCUUAUUCCUGUCCAGAUGGUCUCUCUGGGAAGCUCUCACAGUGCAAUGGGAGGAUAUCCCAUCCUGCUGACUCCAUCAGGACCCUCUACCAGGACAAGGAGAAGUCCUGGAGCUCUCUCCGGAUCCAGGCAGGAGCUGCCAGAGGAAUGUGCUUCAGGCAGGGCACUGCUGCCUCCCGGGGCUGCCCCCCAGCAGGACAGCUCUGCUGUGGAAUAGAAAAGCUCUGCAUGGAAGCUGAUAGAAGCCAGAGGAGCCCAAGUCAUUUAAGGUUGAAGAGAAAUGUUAAAGACAGCAGGAAAAGCAAACAUUAGUGGUAGCCAUGAGGCUAAGGGGAAUAGGAAGGGCUUUUACAAAUAUAUCAAGGGGAAAAGGAAAUACUGGAGAGUCAAGACAAAGUGGGCCCAUUAAUAAAUGAGGAAGGAUAUUAAAUUAAUGAUGAUUCUCAAAUGGCUGAGUUAGUGAACUACUUAUUGAGAUCUGCCUUUAACAAGAACAACAAGGGAAAGUGGCUGAGACAAUCAGAAAGCAGCGAAGGAUGCUGGAAUUGUCCUAGAUGGAGCAAGGGGAAGGGGACAGCUGGGCUAUGAGCCCCGGAUGGCAAGUGCCUGGGGUCAAGCAGCACUAGGAAAAGCCCACCCCAUCCAUCUCUUCCUCGGCAGGAGCAGAGGGAAUGUGUGCUUGGAGCAGACCAGUGCUUGGCAAAAGGCCCAGAGUAAAUAAGGGGUCUGUGGGGACCACGUCCCCUUGCCUUGGAGUGGGACAGGACCACGGCAGAGCUGGAAGGGAGACUCCCAGGAGCCCCAGGCACAGCCUGUGCUGCACAGAUCCGGGCUUGGAGACUGCCAGGGAAGAGCCUGGAUGGAAACGGGGAGGGGGAAGAGGUCCAGACAGCUGGACCUGGUUCAUUAGAGUUUGUCCUUGUACAGUAAGAUCCUCCAAGAUGCCCUGGUGCUGUUUAUCCUCCCAUUUCAUUGGCACUGAACAAACAAGUGACUGCCCAGCCCAAGGUCGCUCCUGUGCCCAGAGGAAAAGCUCUGGGAAGAGAAUUUUCUGUCCUUCUAGGAAGCCUGAGAAAUCCCCAAAGAUCCCUCUGCUGCCACAGCCUGAGGGAUGGCUGGGAACGGUGUCCCACAGGAGCUGCACGGUGGCAGUGCCCACCCUCAGCCAGCCGGGAGCAGGCGUCCCGUGGAUGUGCCAUCUGACAAAGGGCUCUGUGGGGGACAAUGUCCGGGCAGUGAGGGCCCUUGUCAAUGUUUUAUGGGCCCAGGCAUCCCCAGGGUGUGUUUACGGGGCAGUAAAUUAAAGCACUCAGCCAAGUGACAUUUGUGUUCUGCAAAUGCGAUUAUUAUGCAUGAUUAGCAGCCAAGUGCACUGAAAAACCCACACUCAGGGCGGGCACGAGCGGGACGCCCGCCUGGCCCGCGGCUCCUCAUGCCAGAGAUGCACCCCGGGCAGGCACCUUUUCCCUGGAAAAGCCUUUCUGUGGGACAACAGCGAGCCUGGCAUGGGCAGAGACCCUGGAACCACCACCUUACCCCUCAGCUGGCUGCUCCCCCCCUCCCCAAUCCCAGCCUGCCGGAGAUGGACCGUGCCAGCCGAGGACUUAAAAGAUUUCCUUCCCAGCUGCCAGCCCGACUUUCCAGAGGAAUGCAUCCAAACCCACUUUUAUUUUUAAUUAUUUAUCUGUAACCAGUUUGGCAGGAAAACCAAUUAAACGAGUGGGUGAUUAAUGA
Long non-coding RNA from Pseudopipra pipra, 2694 nucleotides. RefSeq lists it as uncharacterized. The record is from RefSeq and is a predicted model, not a curated record. Lineage: Eukaryota; Metazoa; Chordata; Aves; Passeriformes; Pipridae. The transcript is spliced from 2 exons.